Long non-coding RNA from Rana temporaria (common frog), 607 nucleotides. RefSeq lists it as uncharacterized. Lineage: Eukaryota; Metazoa; Chordata; Amphibia; Anura; Ranidae. The record is from RefSeq and is a predicted model, not a curated record. The transcript is spliced from 4 exons.
GAAGUAGAGAGGAGACAUUACUGGAAUUGGCAGCAGAGGAGAGAGGAGUGUCCUGUUUAGAUCACAUGACCACAUCAAUGAGGAUGGGGAAAGACUAAAGCCAAGUGACUGAGAGGAUAUUAGACCUUACCCUGGAGAUCAUCUACCUGCUGACCGGAGAGGAUUAUAAAGUAGAAAACAUCUGGUGAUCCAUUAACACCCAGCAGUUGUCCGCGGGGGGAGUCGCCCAUCACAGUGUCUCCACGUCACUGCCUGACACCAAAGGGUAAAGAGAAGGAAUUUCUAAAGGUCAUCAAGAAGAUGAUGGAGCUUCUGAUAGGAGAGGUGAGCGGUGCCGGGAAUUCUGGGACAUUAUCCAGUAACAGACAAGGGAUCCCUCCCCAGGAUCGGGAUGAGGAACAGAAAGACGAGGAAGAAGAGGAAGAGACGGUGAGUGGAGAUCGGUCCGCAGAGGAGGUGAGAUGUUUAGGACGAGUACCAUACCAUAAAACCUUUUUCUUGGAGAUCAUUGAGGGACACAGGAACAGUAGAAAUCAUAAACAAUUACCCACAGAAAAGGUUUGGGUCAAGGUCCUUCAAGAAGAAGGUGCCAUUAAAUGGGCAAAGA